This 72-nucleotide transfer RNA is filed under the name Camelus ferus (Wild Bactrian camel). It matches the Rfam family "tRNA". From Rfam's summary of the family: Transfer RNA (tRNA) molecules are approximately 80 nucleotides in length. Their secondary structure includes four short double-helical elements and three loops (D, anti-codon, and T loops). Lineage: Eukaryota; Metazoa; Chordata; Mammalia; Artiodactyla; Camelidae. The record is from Rfam by way of RNAcentral.
GAGGGUAUAGCUCAGUGGUAGAGCAUGUACUUAGCAUGCACGAGGUCCUGGGUUCAAGCCCCUGUACUGCCA